This 305-nucleotide ribosomal RNA is filed under the name uncultured bacterium. RNAcentral's name for it is "partial 16S ribosomal RNA". It matches the Rfam family "Bacterial small subunit ribosomal RNA", at positions 505 to 809 of the family's 1533-position model. The record is from RNAcentral.
ACAGCAGCAGCCGCGGGAAUACGGAGGGUGCAAGCGUUAAUCGGAACUACUGGGCGUAAAACGCACGCAGGCGGUUUGUUAAGUCAGAUGUGAAAUCCCCGAGCUUAACUUGGGAACUGCAUUUGAAACUGGCAAGCUAGAGUCUUGUAGAGGGGGGUAGAAUUCCAGGUGUAGCGGUGAAAUGCGUAGAGAUCUGGAGGAAUACCGGUGGCGAAGGCGGCCCCCUGGACAAAGACUGACGCUCAGGUGCGAAAGCGUGGGGAGCAAACAGGAUUAGAUACCCCAGUAGUCCCUGUCUCUUAUAA